RNAcentral lists this ribosomal RNA (340 nucleotides) under uncultured Pseudomonadota bacterium. RNAcentral's name for it is "bacterial SSU rRNA". It matches the Rfam family "Bacterial small subunit ribosomal RNA", at positions 29 to 351 of the family's 1533-position model. The record is from RNAcentral. Lineage: Bacteria; Pseudomonadati; Pseudomonadota.
AACGAACGCUGGCGGCGUGCUUAACACAUGCAAGUCGAACGCGAAAGAGGUCUUCGGACCUCUCUAGAGUGGCGCACGGGUGAGUAACGCGUAGAUAAUCUACCCCCAUAUUUGGGAUAACAAUUCGAAAGGAUUGCUAAUACCGGAUACACUUAUUUGAACGCGAGUUUGAGUGAGGAAAGGUGACCUCUUCAUGAAAGUUACUGUAUAGGGAUGAGUCUGCGUACCAUUAGCUAGUAGGUAGGGUAAAGGCCUACCUAGGCUACGAUGGUUAGCGGGUCUGAGAGGAUGAUCCGCCACACUGGAACUGGAACACGGACCAGACUCCUACGGGAGGCAG